Molecule: ribosomal RNA, 549 nt
Filed under: Halomonas sp. enrichment culture clone 6-1
Lineage: Bacteria; Pseudomonadati; Pseudomonadota; Gammaproteobacteria; Oceanospirillales; Halomonadaceae
Description: bacterial SSU rRNA
Rfam family: Bacterial small subunit ribosomal RNA
Source: RNAcentral
UGGGGAAUAUUGGACAAUGGGGGCAACCCUGAUCCAGCCAUGCCGCGUGUGUGAAGAAGGCCCUCGGGUUGUAAAGCACUUUCAGCGAGGAAGAACGCCUAGUGGUUAAUACCCAUUAGGAAAGACAUCACUCGCAGAAGAAGCACCGGCUAACUCCGUGCCAGCAGCCGCGGUAAUACGGAGGGUGCAAGCGUUAAUCGGAAUUACUGGGCGUAAAGCGCGCGUAGGUGGCUUGAUAAGCCGGUUGUGAAAGCCCCGGGCUCAACCUGGGAACGGCAUCCGGAACUGUCAGGCUAGAGUGCAGGAGAGGAAGGUAGAAUUCCCGGUGUAGCGGUGAAAUGCGUAGAGAUCGGGAGGAAUACCAGUGGCGAAGGCGGCCUUCUGGACUGACACUGACACUGAGGUGCGAAAGCGUGGGUAGCAAACAGGAUUAGAUACCCUGGUAGUCCACGCCGUAAACGAUGUCGACCAGCCGUUGGGUGCCUAGAGCACUUUGUGGCGAAGUUAACGCGAUAAGUCGACCGCCUGGGGAGUACGGCCGCAAGGUUA